This 508-nucleotide ribosomal RNA is filed under the name uncultured Glomus. RNAcentral describes it as "SSU rRNA". It matches the Rfam family "Eukaryotic small subunit ribosomal RNA", at positions 569 to 1078 of the family's 1831-position model. Lineage: Eukaryota; Fungi; Glomeromycota; Glomeromycetes; Glomerales; Glomeraceae. The record is from RNAcentral.
AGCAGCCGCGGUAAUUCCAGCUCCAAUAGCGUAUAUUAAAGUUGUUGCAGUUAAAAAGCUCGUAGUUGAAUUUCGGGGUUAGUAGGUUGGUCAUGCCUCUGGUAUGUACUGGUCUCACUGAUUCCUCCUUCCUGAUGAACCGUAAUGCCAUUAAUUUGGUGUUGCGGGGAAUUUGGACUGUUACUUUGAAAAAAUUAGAGUGUUUAAAGCAAGCUAACGCUUGAAUACAUUAGCAUGGAAUAAUGAAAUAGGACGUUCGAUCCUAUUUUGUUGGUUUCUAGGAUUGACGUAAUGAUUAAUAGGGAUAGUUGGGGGCAUUAGUAUUCAAUUGUCAGAGGUGAAAUUCUUGGAUUUAUUGAAGACUAACUACUGCGAAAGCAUUUGCCAAGGAUGUUUUCAUUAAUCAAGAACGAAUGUUAGGGGAUCGAAGACGAUCAGAUACCGUCGUAGUCUUAACCAUAAACUAUGCCGACUAGGGAUCGGAUGAUGUUAAUUUUUUAAUGACUCA